Molecule: non-coding RNA, 1876 nt
Organism: Benincasa hispida (wax gourd)
Lineage: Eukaryota; Viridiplantae; Streptophyta; Magnoliopsida; Cucurbitales; Cucurbitaceae
Source: RefSeq, a predicted model, not a curated record
AAAUUAUUCACACCCAUUGUUUGGGAGAUUUCUCUUGGCGUUAACCGCAUAAUAUUUCUGGCUCUGAAGCAGCGGUAGAAAGGAUAGGUUUACAAAUCCACAACCCGUUGCCGAAAAGAGAUUCAGUCUUUUCAGGCUCGCUAGUCCCGGCGGCGCGUGAAUCUUACGCGACCUGUGAUGGCGGAGUACGGCGAAGGUAGAUGGAACAGCAAACGGUCGCUGUUAAUCGUGACGGUGAACUUUCUGUUGUUUGUUCUGGUUGCAGUUUCUGCAGACAGAAGCCUGAAGAUGCCGGAGAUUUCAACGACGGAAGGAACACCGCGAAGCUUUUCCGAUGAGCGGCGAGAUUUGAAAAAUCUUCUCGAAAUCGCGAAGACUUUUCUCUGGAAAUCGGACGGCUCUGGUUAUGAACAUGUCUGGCCAGACAUAAAGUUUGGGUGGCCCAUUAUUCUGGGCACAAUAGUGGGAUUCACUGGAGCGGCUUUCGGAAGCAUCGGUGGUGUUGGCGGGGGCGGCCUUUUCCUUCCAAUGCUUAAUCUCAUUCUUGGAUUCGAUGCGAAAUCCUCCACCGCCAUGUCCAAAUGUAUGAUAAUGGGUGCAGCUGUGUCAACUGUUUACUAUAACCUUAAACUGAGGCACCCGUUCUUUGAUGUGCCAAUGAUUGAUUACGAUUUGGUGCUUAUAGUCCAGCCCAUGCUCUUGCUUGGCAUCAGCAUUGGAGUUAUUUUCAAUGUCAUUUUUGCCGAUUGGAUGGUCACAAUUCUCCUCAUUGUUCUAUUCUUACUCAUAUCUACCAAGGCAUUUAUGAGGGGAGUUAAAACUUGGGACAAGGAAACGCUUCUCAAAAGGGAGACUGACUCUCAAAGUCAAGAUGGAGAGAGGGAGUACAGAACUAUUCCUGAUGGAUCACAACAGGAGACAGAGAAAGCACGAUCAAAAAUCUCAAUUGUCAAGAAUGUAUAUUGGAAGGAAUUGGGUCUUCUUUUGUUCGUUUGGGUUGCCUUCCUUGUCCUCCAGAUCUUCAAGGAGAGGACAGUAUCAUGUUCGUGGGAAUAUUGGACAUUAAACUUUCUGCAGAUCCCAAUAUCUGUGGGAGUAUAUUUGUACGAAGCAACUAGCUUAUACAAGGGACGAAAAGUGAUCGCGUCUUUAGGUGGACGUGAAACAGAAUUUCGAGUUGGGCAACUUGCAAUGUAUGCCUGUCUUGGCAUGUCCGCUGGCGUGGUCGGUGGGUUGCUCGGCGUUGGUGGCGGAUCCAUCAUGGGUCCAUUGUUUUUGGAGCUUGGUGUUCCCCCUCAGGUUGCAACUGCUUCGGCAACCUUUGCUAUGAUGUUUUCCUCAUCAAUGUCAGUCGUGGAAUACUACCUUCUGAACCAGUUUCCAGUGCCAUAUGCGGUAUAUUUGGCGGCGGUGGCGAUGAUAGCGGCGUAUUGUGGACAGCAUAUUGUGAGGAAAGUUAUUGCGUUGCUUGGAAGAGCUUCCAUCAUUAUUUUCGUUCUUGCAUUCACUGUGUUCAUAAGUUCUCUCACACUUGGUGGAGUGGGAAUAUCAAAGUCGAUUCAACGACUUCAACGAAAUGAAUAUAUGGGAUUUGAGGAUUUGUGUCGAGUUAGUGGUUAGACGAGAGAGAUUAAUUUCUAAGACCAUUCUGUUAUUGGUUAGACAAGAGAGAUUAAUUUCUAAUCUUUUUGUUUGAAGAUUCAAACUUUGCCGUUUCAUCGAGGUAAGGGUAGAGAUGCACCGGUGAUGGAUAAGCGGAAUCCGUGAUCGAGCCACUGGGACUAGUUUUUACGCUUCUGCAUAAAGAGAUUUAAAGUUUUUUUCAUAUUUCCCUUAAUGUUAGUUUUGAUGUUCGAACAUGUUAGUAAGAAUUGUU